UGAUGUCAGAGCCAAAUGUGUUAUCAAUGCCACGGGACCUUUUACGGACGCGCUGUGGAAAAUGGAUGAUCAGAAGAACCCCGACAUCUGUCAGCCCAGUGCCGGGGUGCACAUCGUCAUCCCGGCUAUUACAGCCGCUCGCCCUCUCAUGCACACAACACUCAUGCACCUCCAGACUUGACAGCAUAAAACUCCAAGACGCCGUCGCAUCAUCUUCUAUCUGACCUGGGGAGCGGAUGCCCAAACACACCAUCGCAUAGCAAGUCAUCUCUGGAGAGGAUAUCAGUGUCUGAAUUACAUCCUCAACUAACUCGGCAACCACAGCCAGGAAAUGGAAGUUAGGGAGAGUCCUGUCUUCAUCCUGACAGAAGCGAGAGUGAAAUAAAG
This is a long non-coding RNA of Haplochromis burtoni (Burton's mouthbrooder), 387 nucleotides long. RefSeq lists it as uncharacterized. Lineage: Eukaryota; Metazoa; Chordata; Actinopteri; Cichliformes; Cichlidae. The transcript is spliced from 3 exons. The record is from RefSeq and is a predicted model, not a curated record.